CCUACGGGUGGCAGCAGUGGGGGAUAUUUCACAAUGGAGGAAACUCUGAUGCAGCGACGCCGCGUGAGGGAUGAAGGUCUUCGGAUUGUAAACCUCUGUCUUUGGGGAAGAAAAUGACGGUACCCAAAGAGUAAGCUCCGGCUAACUACGUGCCAGCAGCCGCGGUCAUACGUAGGGAGCGAGCGUUGUCCGGAAUUACUGGGUGUAAAGGGAGCGUAGGCGGGCAAGAAAAGUGAAUGUUAAAUCGACCUGUUUACAUGCUAGCUGCGUGCAAAACUUUUUAUCUUGAGGGAAGUAGAGGCAAGUGGAAUUUCUAGGGUAGCAGUGAAAUGCGUAGAUAUUAGGAGGAACACCAGUGGCGAAGGCGGCCUGCUGGG
Molecule: ribosomal RNA, 377 nt
Filed under: uncultured bacterium
Lineage: Bacteria
Description: partial 16S ribosomal RNA
Rfam family: Bacterial small subunit ribosomal RNA
Source: RNAcentral